This 253-nucleotide ribosomal RNA is filed under the name uncultured bacterium. RNAcentral's name for it is "partial 16S ribosomal RNA". It matches the Rfam family "Bacterial small subunit ribosomal RNA", at positions 524 to 776 of the family's 1533-position model. The record is from RNAcentral.
UACAGAGGGGGCAAGCGUUGUUCGGAAUUACUGGGCGUAAAGGGCGCGUAGGCGGCCUGCUAAGUCGAACGUGAAAUCCCCGGGCUCAACCCGGGAACUGCGUCCGAUACUGGUUGGCUUGAAUCCGGGAGAGGGAUGCGGAAUUCCAGGUGUAGCGGUGAAAUGCGUAGAUAUCUGGAGGAACACCGGUGGCGAAGGCGGCAUCCUGGACCGGCAUUGACGCUGAGGCGCGAAAGCUAGGGGAGCAAACGGG